This is a long non-coding RNA of Chlorocebus sabaeus (green monkey), 293 nucleotides long. RefSeq lists it as uncharacterized. The record is from RefSeq and is a predicted model, not a curated record. NCBI's taxonomy places the organism in Eukaryota, Metazoa, Chordata, Mammalia, Primates, Cercopithecidae.
AAGGCGAUGGAGACCAGCCUCGGCUGGACUACUUCCUCCCCAGAGGCCCUUCACCGCCUCCCCAUCCAGACCCAAGGUUCCCUAGUGGUCCGGACGGUUUCCUUGGCAUCGCUGGCACCAGGCCCACCACAGCUGCCAAACAUGAGCUGAUGAGACAGCCCUCGUGGUCUCCACCCACUGCCCUGGUAGAGAAGUGAAACAUGAACCCAUCAGUGCAAGACAGAGGAAGAGGCACCAGCGAAGACACAGUGGCUCAUGCCUGUAAUCCCAGCACUUUGGGAGGCCGACGUGAA